GGAAGCCAGGAAAUGCUUAGCUGGGAGCUCAAGGUGAAAAGGAUUUGGUGAACAACCAGCUAGUCUCUGCCACUGCAUCUUAUUUUGAGACACCUCUUAGAUAUCCAGGAAAAGAGAGAACCUGCCGUGUGGGGUUGGAUUGGAGCUGAAGGCAUCAGGAUUGGAGGGAUUCAUCAAUGCGGCCCAGUGUUUCGUUGGUUCGAAUCCUGGGCGCGGACAUGGCCCUGCUCAUCAGACCACGCUGAGGCAGCAUCCCACAUGCCACGGCUGGAAGAACCCACAGCGAAGAGUGCACAGCUAUGUGCUGGGGGGCUUUGG
This 318-nucleotide long non-coding RNA is filed under the name Equus caballus (horse). Its description in RNAcentral is "lncRNA (ENSECAG00000044965.1)". Lineage: Eukaryota; Metazoa; Chordata; Mammalia; Perissodactyla; Equidae. The record is from RNAcentral.